This 403-nucleotide ribosomal RNA is filed under the name uncultured bacterium. RNAcentral's name for it is "partial 16S ribosomal RNA". It matches the Rfam family "Bacterial small subunit ribosomal RNA", at positions 28 to 526 of the family's 1533-position model. The record is from RNAcentral.
GACGAACGCUGGCGGCGUGCCUAAUACAUGCAAGUCGAACGCAGUGGGGACGGGUGAGUAACACGUGGGUAACCUCCCAUCAGAGGGGAUAACACUUGGAAACAGGUGCUAAACCGAUACUGAUGGAUGGACCCGCGGUUCAUUAGCUAGUUGGUGAGGUAACGGCGCACCAAGGCCACGAUGCAUAGCCGACCUGAGGGGGUGACCGGUCACACAGGGGCUGGGACACGGACCAGACUCGUACGGGAGGCAGCAGUAGGGAAUCUGCGGCAAUAGACGAAAGGCUAGCCUGCCAACGCCGCGUGAGUGAAGAAGGUUUUCGGAUCGUAAAACUCGGUUGUAAGAGAAGCGGUAUCUAACCAAAAAGCCACGGCUAACUACGUGCCAGCAGCCGCGGUAAUAC